GCCUGGCUGGCUCAGUUGGUAGAGCAUGAGACUCUUAAUUAUCAGGGCUGUGAGUUCAAGCCUCACAUUAGGCU
This 74-nucleotide transfer RNA is filed under the name Mustela putorius furo (domestic ferret). RNAcentral describes it as "tRNA-Lys (CTT) (tRNA-Lys-CTT-26-1)". It matches the Rfam family "tRNA". Rfam says of the family: Transfer RNA (tRNA) molecules are approximately 80 nucleotides in length. Their secondary structure includes four short double-helical elements and three loops (D, anti-codon, and T loops). Further hydrogen bonds mediate the characteristic L-shaped molecular structure. tRNAs have two regions of fundamental functional importance: the anti-codon, which is responsible for specific mRNA codon recognition, and the 3' end, to which the tRNAs corresponding amino acid is attached (by aminoacyl-tRNA synthetases). tRNAs cope with the degeneracy of the genetic code in two manners: having more than one tRNA (with a specific anti-codon) for a particular amino acid; and 'wobble' base-pairing, i.e. permitting non-standard base-pairing at the 3rd anti-codon position. RNAcentral also lists the same sequence under 2 other names. The record is from Rfam by way of RNAcentral. Lineage: Eukaryota; Metazoa; Chordata; Mammalia; Carnivora; Mustelidae.